Non-coding RNA from Cajanus cajan (pigeon pea), 720 nucleotides. NCBI's taxonomy places the organism in Eukaryota, Viridiplantae, Streptophyta, Magnoliopsida, Fabales, Fabaceae. The record is from RefSeq and is a predicted model, not a curated record.
GAAAAAAGAAGAGGGACAGAAAUAAGUAGGGGAAUGUCUAGGGCCGGCCCGUGUAGCACGCGUUCAAAGCCCAAUAGGUGUCCGGCCCAGUCUGUGCAAAGAUGAUACGACGCCGUAGUGUGCAUCUAAACAUUGGGUUGGAUUUGAAUCCUGCGUGAGUUGCAGAGUGAAGGAUGAGGUUUUCUAUGGCAGGGUUUCGAAGUUCAUUGCCCUUUUCUGCGCUAAUAAGGGUUUGUUGGAUUUGUUGAUUUUGUGUCAGACAAGUUGAGCAAGAAAUGGAAACUGUGAUUAAGGUGCUGCAGCCUGGACCCUUGGGAAUCAUAGAGCACAAGUUUUCCGCGGACGAGAUUCGUAAGGCUAAUGCUACGGUUUCUAAAGCAGUGACCAAUUGGGUAACCAAUGCAACCCUCCCACACAAUAAUCACAUUUUAAAAGACUACAUUCAUAAGUGAACCCAAAUUUUUACACAAGGUUCAACUUUCCUUCGGUGUGCUUAUUCGUUCAUAUGUAUGUGUCACUGUUUAUUCAGAUGUUCAAUGUUGUAAAUUCUGGUUACUUGAGGAUAGGUUUCAGUAACAUGAUUUAAUAAUAUCUGAACUUUGGUAUGUUUACCAUAAGAUUAUGAUCAUUGGAGUGUGGAAUUGAGUUGCAGUAUUUUGUUGUUGGGGUUGUUACACAUUGCUAGUAAUUAUAAUUCAUACCUGUAGGCUAUUAGUAUGA